GACGAACGCUGGCGGCGUGCCUAAUACAUGCAAGUUGAGCGAUGAAGAUUGGUGCUUGCACCAAUUUGAAGAGCAGCGAACGGGUGAGUAACGCGUGGGGAAUCUGCCUUUGAGCGGGGGACAACAUUUGGAAACGAAUGCUAAUACCGCAUAACAACUUUAAACAUAAGUUUUAAGUUUGAAAGAUGCAAUUGCAUCACUCAAAGAUGAUCCCGCGUUGUAUUAGCUAGUUGGUGAGGUAAAGGCUAACCAAGGCGAUGAUACAUAGCCGACCUGAGAGGGUGAUCGGCCACAUUGGGACUGAGACACGGCCCAAACUCCUACGGGAGGCAGCAGUAGGGAAUCUUCGGCAAUGGACGAAAGUCUGACCGAGCAACGCCGCGUGAGUGAAGAAGGUUUUCGGAUCGUAAAACUCUGUUGGUAGAGAAGAACGUUGGUGAGAGUGGAAAGCUCAUCAAGUGACGGUAACUACCCAGAAAGGGACGGCUAACUACGUG
Molecule: ribosomal RNA, 497 nt
Filed under: uncultured bacterium
Lineage: Bacteria
Description: partial 16S ribosomal RNA
Rfam family: Bacterial small subunit ribosomal RNA
Source: RNAcentral